UGUAAGCGUAUACCAAAGUUGUUGCAGUUAAAACGCUCGUAGUCGGAAUUUGGCAGUUCCGGAUGUGUGCACGUCGUGUGCGCACUUCGCGGGGAUUGCUUUUGUGGUCUUGCGUAGGAUGAGGCACUUUUAUUAGUGAACGUCCUCACGCAACCACUUUUUACUGUGAGAAAUUCAGAGUGCUCAAAGCAGGCAUUUGCCGUGAAUGUAUUAGCAUGGAAUAAUAGAAUAGGACUUGGUUCUAUUUUGUUGGUUUGUUGGGACUGAGUAAUGAUUAAGAGGGACAGUUGGGGGCAUUUGUAUUUCGGUGCUAGAGGUGAAAUUCUUAGAUUACCGAAAGACAAACUGCUGCGAAAGCGUCUGCCAAGGAUGUUUUCAUUGA
This 382-nucleotide ribosomal RNA is filed under the name uncultured eukaryote. Its description in RNAcentral is "partial 18S ribosomal RNA". It matches the Rfam family "Eukaryotic small subunit ribosomal RNA", at positions 592 to 976 of the family's 1831-position model. The record is from RNAcentral.